GGAGAGUUGUCCGAGUGGCCGAUGGAGCCUGUCUUGAAAACAGGUGGGCAGUGAUGUCUCGUGGGUUCGAAUCCCACACUCUCCGCCA
This 88-nucleotide transfer RNA is filed under the name Curtobacterium sp. VKM Ac-1395. RNAcentral's name for it is "tRNA-Ser". It matches the Rfam family "tRNA". From Rfam's summary of the family: Transfer RNA (tRNA) molecules are approximately 80 nucleotides in length. Their secondary structure includes four short double-helical elements and three loops (D, anti-codon, and T loops). Further hydrogen bonds mediate the characteristic L-shaped molecular structure. tRNAs have two regions of fundamental functional importance: the anti-codon, which is responsible for specific mRNA codon recognition, and the 3' end, to which the tRNAs corresponding amino acid is attached (by aminoacyl-tRNA synthetases). tRNAs cope with the degeneracy of the genetic code in two manners: having more than one tRNA (with a specific anti-codon) for a particular amino acid; and 'wobble' base-pairing, i.e. permitting non-standard base-pairing at the 3rd anti-codon position. RNAcentral also lists the same sequence under 1 other name. The record is from RNAcentral. Lineage: Bacteria; Bacillati; Actinomycetota; Actinomycetes; Micrococcales; Microbacteriaceae.